UGGUUUUGUACUAAGUCAAACUUCUUAAAAUUUGACCAAGUUUAUAGAACAUAGUAAUGUUUCUAACACCAAGCAAAUGUACUGUUGCAUAUGUUUCAACAGUGGAUUUAAUGAAAUUAAUUUGGUGUUUUAGAUGUUGCUACAUUUGUCUAUAAACUUGGUCAAACCGUAAGUUUGACUUAGGGCAAAACCAA
RNAcentral lists this microRNA precursor (194 nucleotides) under Oryza brachyantha (malo sina). RNAcentral's name for it is "MIR1435 microRNA precursor family". It matches the Rfam family "MIR1435 microRNA precursor family". The record is from Rfam by way of RNAcentral. Lineage: Eukaryota; Viridiplantae; Streptophyta; Magnoliopsida; Poales; Poaceae.